UCCGGUUGAUCCUGCCAGAGGCCGCUGCUAUCCGGCUGGGACUAAGCCAUGCUAGUCUAGGGGCUUGUACCCCUUCGGGGGUGCAAGCACCGGCGGACGGCUCAGUAACACGUGGACAACCUGCCCUCGGGUGGGGGAUAACCCCGGGAAACUGGGGCUAAUCCCCCAUAGGUGAUGGGUGCUGGAAUGCCCCAUCUCCGAAAGCGCUCAGCGCCCGAGGAUGGGUCUGCGGCGGAUUAGGUAGUUGGUGGGGUAACGGCCCACCAAGCCUAAGAUCCGUACGGGCUGUGGGAGCAGGAGCCCGGAGAUGGACCCUGAGACAAGGGUCCAGGCCCUACGGGGCGCAGCAGGCGCGAAACCUCCGCAAUGCGGGAAACCGCGACGGGGUUAGCCGGAGUGCCCGUGCAUUGCACGGGCUGUCGGGGUGCCUAAACAGCACCCCAUAGCAAGGGCCGGGCAAGGCCGGUGGCAGCCGCCGCGGUAAGACCGGCGGCCCGAGUGGCGGCCACUCUUAUUGGGCCUAAAGCGUCCGUAGCCGGCCCAGUAAGUCCCCCGGGAAAUCUGGUCGCUUAACGAUCAGACUUUUGGGGGAUACUGCUGGGCUAGGGACCGGGAAAGGCCGAGGGUAUUCCCCGGGGUAGGGGUGAAAUCCUGU
Molecule: ribosomal RNA, 655 nt
Filed under: uncultured archaeon
Lineage: Archaea
Description: bacterial SSU rRNA
Rfam family: Archaeal small subunit ribosomal RNA
Source: RNAcentral